This 89-nucleotide transfer RNA is filed under the name Alphaproteobacteria bacterium. Its description in RNAcentral is "tRNA-Ser". It matches the Rfam family "tRNA". Rfam says of the family: Transfer RNA (tRNA) molecules are approximately 80 nucleotides in length. Their secondary structure includes four short double-helical elements and three loops (D, anti-codon, and T loops). Further hydrogen bonds mediate the characteristic L-shaped molecular structure. tRNAs have two regions of fundamental functional importance: the anti-codon, which is responsible for specific mRNA codon recognition, and the 3' end, to which the tRNAs corresponding amino acid is attached (by aminoacyl-tRNA synthetases). tRNAs cope with the degeneracy of the genetic code in two manners: having more than one tRNA (with a specific anti-codon) for a particular amino acid; and 'wobble' base-pairing, i.e. permitting non-standard base-pairing at the 3rd anti-codon position. Lineage: Bacteria; Pseudomonadati; Pseudomonadota; Alphaproteobacteria. The record is from RNAcentral.
UGGAGAGGUGACAGAGUGGUUGAAUGUGGCGGUCUCGAAAACCGUUGUACGUGAAAGCGUACCGAGGGUUCGAAUCCUCUCUCUCCGCC